CUCCUUGGGGCUGAGUGGCGGAGGCAGCCCCUGCGCGGGAACCCCCAUGAUCCGGAUAACAGAAGGCUCUGUGAUAAGGUGCAGCUUGCACCAGAAGGAGGCCAGCAUCUUCUGCAGAAGGCUGGGGUGCGGCCCGGCGCUCCAGCAUCCAGGCCCCACCUCACAGGGCACCCAGGCUGGCUGGGCUCGAAAAUCAUUUCCUGCCAGGGAACAGAGUCCAGCAUCUUCAACUGCAGGUUCAACCUGAACUUCCUGGACCUCUGUGACCUCCCAACAGACUCUGAGGUGGUGUGUGCAGGUAGAAAAGGCAGGAGAAGUUCCUGAGGACCCUGGGGAGCCCCUCAACGGAGCUCUGGCACGCGGGCUCCUGGGGCACCGUGUGCGACGAUGGCUGGGACCUGGCAGACGCGGAGGUCGUGUGCCGCCAGCUGGGCUGUGGUCGGGCCGUCGCCGCCCUGGGGGCCGCCGCCUUUGGCCCUGGCUCCGGGCCCGUGUGGCUGGACGAGGUGGGGUGCCGGGGCAGCGAGGCGUCCCUGUGGGGCUGCCCUUCGGAGCGGUGGGGACGCGGAGGCUGCGCGCACAAGGAGGACGCAGGCCUGCGCUGCUGGGAAAACAGUUAACCACAGUGAUGACCUUAGCAAAAAUAGCAGCAGUGAGCCUGGCCCAGGCCCCCCGCUGCCUGCAGCUCCCAUCCGGACAUUGUGGGCGGUCAGUGUCGUCCUGCAGCUCCCAUCCGGACAUUCUGGGCGGUCAGUGUCGUCCUGGGAGCCCUUCUUGGUCUUCUCCUUCUGGGCCUUAUGGCCUUUCUGAUUCUGCCUCGAGUCACACAAGCCAUGCAGAGGGGUCUAGGAAGAUCCGAGGCAUCUCUUGGAGAAGCCAUCUAUGAUGUCAUUGGGGAAAUGCCGCUAGCAGGACUGUACGAGGAAAUCAUGGAGGCCGAGGCCGAGGCCAUGCUCCAAGAUGAGGAGGACGAGGGUGUGGUGAAGGUGGACACAGAAGCCGCAGGCUGAAGUACAGUGGUGUGAUCUUGGCUCACUGCAACCUCUGUCUCCCAGGUUCAAGCAAUUCUCCUGCCUCAGCCUCCAGAGUAGCUGGGAUUACAGAAAGAAAGAAAGAACAAAAAGAAGAGAAGGAGAGUAAAUUCUUGUUUCCAAGUUAGACAAGAGAGUUAUGAUUAAAUGCCACCUUAGGUCCACAAGUCUUCCAUAAGAAAAACAAUGAAAGGAUUUCUGGAUGAUUCUAUUAUGACAUCACAACUUGCAGCAGAGGCAGAUGUAAUGAGGCAAUACUUGACAUUGUUUUCCCAUUGCUCGUGUCCUCGGUCUCUUGCCUCGGCACCUGGGUGGCUUGCCGCCCACAGCAAUUGUGACUUUGAAAGGCCAUUCCACCGUUCUAUCAAUCCAGCUGCUUCAGGAUAAUGGGCAACAUGGUAAGACCAGUGAAUUCCAUGAGCAUGAGCCCACUGCUGCGCUUCUUUAGCCGUAAAGAUAGACAAGAGAAGCACUUCCAGAAUGGCAGGAUAAGAAGCUCUGAAAAUCUGUUCCUCCAGAACGGCAAUGUGAACACCAGCAAAAGUGUUGAAAAAUGAAUGGAGCCUCAGAGACCUUUGGGGCAUCAUCAAGGGUAUCUAACAGGUACAAUGGGAAUCACAGAAAGAGAGAAAAUAAGGGGACAAAAAUACUAUUUGAAGAAAUAAUGGGUGUAAAUUCCCCAAAUUUGAUGAAAAAGAUCCAUCUACAUAUCCAAAAGCUUAAUAAAUGAAUAUUCAUUUGUU
This 1774-nucleotide small RNA is filed under the name Pongo abelii (Sumatran orangutan). Its description in RNAcentral is "retained intron". The record is from RNAcentral. Lineage: Eukaryota; Metazoa; Chordata; Mammalia; Primates; Hominidae.